UUACCUUCGGGUAUUGAGGAUGGCGGACGGGUGAGUAACGCGUAAGGAACUUGCCUCUUGGUUUGGGACAACUGUUGGAAACGACAGCUAAUACCGGAUAUUAUGAGAUUCUCGCAUGGGAAACUUAUGAAAGCUAUAUGCGCCAAGAGAGAGCCUUGCGUUCCAUUAGCUAGUUGGUGGGGUAACGGCCCACCAAGGCGACGAUGGAUAGCCGGCCUGAGAGGGUGAACGGCCACAAGGGGACUGAGACACGGCCCUUACUCCUACGGGAGGCAGCAGUGGGGAAUAUUGGACAAUGGGCCACAAGCCUGAUCCAGCAAUUCUGUGUGCACGAUGAAGGUCUUCGGAUUGUAAAGUGCUUUCAGUUGGGAAGAAGAAAGUGACGGUACCAACAGAAGAAGCGACGGCUAAAUACGUGCCAGCAGCCGCGGUAAUACGUAUGUCGCAAGCGUUAUCCGGAUUUAUUGGGCGUAAAGCGCGUCUAGGCGGAAAAAUAAGUCUGAUGUUAAAAUGCGGGGCUCAACUCCGUAUUGCGUUGGAAACUGUUUUUCUAGAGUACUGGAGAGGUGGGCGGAACUACAAGUGUAGAGGUGAAAUUCGUAGAUAUUUGUAGGAAUGCCGAUGGAGAAGUCAGCUCACUGGACAGAUACUGACGCUAAAGCGCGAAAGCGUGGGGAGCAAACAGGAUUAGAUACCCUGGUAGUCCACGCCGUAAACGAUGAUCACU
Molecule: ribosomal RNA, 727 nt
Filed under: uncultured bacterium
Lineage: Bacteria
Description: bacterial SSU rRNA
Rfam family: Bacterial small subunit ribosomal RNA
Source: RNAcentral